CCGAGAUCUUCUGCCGCCACUCCCAGGAGGCGGUCGCCCGGCAAGGUCCGCACGCAGGUCGACGCCAUCCACCACUGCUUCUCGUGACGCCAGGCCGACCGCGCCUCCAGCGUCCUCGCAGAGCUCGCAAAAAUGGAUGGGUCUACAUGGAGGAUGAACAAGUUCACAGACUUCUCACCAUUCUUGAUGCCGCACCCAUGUGAUUCACAUCUCUGGGAACGCCAUCUCUUCCAUCGUGGGCCUUAGUUCCUGGACACCGGAGUCUCCCCCUGGACCUGACUUCCGCCAAAUGGCCAACUACUUGACACCUGAACAAGGGGAUAAAAGUCAGAGGCAUGGGGAUGAUGAUGUCAUGGAUGUUUGGAAAAUGGUAACGACGAGAGUUCUUCAUGCAGUAAGAAACCAGUAAGAACUGAACUUAGUUUUGUACCAUUGCGGUUUGCAAAGCUUUGGAGGCAACUUAAUGUUUAAGCUCUCUAAUUUGUCAUUCUCCCAUAUGAAAUUGUCCCGUUAUCUAGUUGUAAUUUUUCUGGAUGCUAUUCUUUCAUCAUAGGCCUUUUAUUCUGUAAGGUAAAUUAGAGGUUUAUUAAAUUAUUAUUUAAGUAAUUUAUGGGUUAACUUCUCCUUGAGCUGGCUCGUGUCUCCACAUGCCUUUUGCUCCCUUAACCUCCUCCUUCCUAUGAAAUCUUUGUAAGAAGGUACAUUUCAGUACAAAAGAGGUAUAUUUUAGUAUAAGAAAACUGAGUAUUUUCACAAAGUAUCAGUAGAAAUUAAAUAUUAGUAUGACAAGAUAUUUUAGUACCUUCUGUGAAGAAAUAGUACAAGUGAAAUCAGUCAGGGAGUACUACCUGAAGAAUAUCAUCACAACUUGACAAGUAUGAAACCGAACCUUUAGUUGCACCAGGUGACUAUCCUUGUCAUCUCCAGAUUGAAGCCUCUCAUCUUAGCCUCUUCUCCAAGCAUGCACCGAAGACUGUAGAAAAUGCAGAACAAUGUACAUGUGAAUUGGAAUCUCAACCUUCAGUGAACAGAUAUUUUUUGAACUAUUGUCAACUCUGUACAUGGUCCAGAUUAGCUCAUAAUGAUACCUCUCCAAUUCUUGCUUGCUUGCUA
Molecule: long non-coding RNA, 1113 nt
Organism: Triticum dicoccoides
Lineage: Eukaryota; Viridiplantae; Streptophyta; Magnoliopsida; Poales; Poaceae
Exons: 4
Source: RefSeq, a predicted model, not a curated record